RNAcentral lists this transfer RNA (68 nucleotides) under Marmota monax (woodchuck). RNAcentral's name for it is "tRNA.Ala". The record is from RNAcentral. Lineage: Eukaryota; Metazoa; Chordata; Mammalia; Rodentia; Sciuridae.
GGUUUGUAGCUCAGUGGUAGAGUGCUCGCCUAGCAUGCACGAGGCACUGGGUUUGAUUCUCAGUACCA